This 492-nucleotide ribosomal RNA is filed under the name uncultured bacterium. RNAcentral describes it as "partial 16S ribosomal RNA". It matches the Rfam family "Bacterial small subunit ribosomal RNA", at positions 30 to 507 of the family's 1533-position model. The record is from RNAcentral.
AGUGAACGCUGGCGGUAGGCCUAACACAUGCAAGUCGAACGGCAGCACAGUAAGAGCGUGCUCUUACGGGUGGCGGGAGGCGGGCGGGUGAGGAAUACAUCGGAAUCUACUUUUUCGUGGGGGUUAACGUAGGGGAAGUUACUAUAAUACCGCAUACGACCUACGGGGGAAAGGAUGGGAACGUCGGAGCUUGCGCGAAUGGAUGAGCCGAUGUCGGAUUAGCUAGUUGGCGGGGUAAAGGCCCACCAUGGCGAGGAUCGGUAGCCGGACGGUGAGGAUGGUCACCGACACGGGAACUGGGCCACGGUCCAGACUCCUGCGGGAGGCAGCAGUGUGGUAUAUUGGACAAUGGUGGGAAGCAUUGCACAGCCGGCCCGCGUGUGUGGAGAAGGCGUUCCGUGCGUGAUGCCCUCUUUUGGGGUGAGAAAAGCAGCAGGUUAAUACCCCGCUGUUGUGACGGUACCCAAAGAAUAAGCACCGGCUAACUUCGUG